GGUAGUAGAGGGUGCCGCCGCGCACCACGUAGCAGGCGGCCGCUUUGCGGAUCUUGCGCUUGGCGUUGCCCUCCGUUCCCGGCGCGUAGGGCUCCCGCUCGUUGGUCAGGUAGCGCAGGAUGGCCAGCCCUAGCUCCGAAACGAGCGGCCUCCGCUUCGAACUUGCGUCGGGAAUAGGAGCUACGAGAAAAUUAGAAUCGCGAUUUCACGUUGCAGCGUGAGCGCACCGAUCAGGAGCAGCACAACCGGCGACAGCUGCACCAGCGCGGGCGGGGCGGCACGGCGGCUACGUCUCGGUGCAGAGCGUGCUCUUUUUUGUUUGUGAAAGGAAUUAAGGAAAAUCUUUUGAACGUUAACUGCUGGUCUUCCUCGUCCGAGUUCUGAGCGGAUUUUUACACCCGUAACACAGACGUGAGCCGCAGGAUGCUGGCGCCCAGUCAGGAGCGUAGCCAGGAGCUUCCCCCGUGCUCAGUACUUGCAAGACGGCCUCUGGAGUACUGGGAUCCCCCCAAAUACAAAGGUGCUGACUGGACGGAGCGAGUCCGAGUCCGGCAGAAGGCUGCAAAGAUGGUCAGGGAUCAGAGCGCGAGGGACGAGCCGAGGCUGAGAGCCGGCCUUUUUCAGCCUUGAAAAGAGAAGGCUUUGUGAGGACCUUGCUGCUGUCCACAGCUACCUCACCAGAGGACCCAGAGAAGAUGGAGGAAAACUCGUCAGAGUUGCAUAGCAAAGAGGCAGCAGGCACAGGUUAGAGCACAAGAAAUUCUAGUUGUAUAUUAAGGAUUUUUUUUUUUUUUUUUUAAACCGUGGUGGUUGUCAAAUACUCAAACACAUUGCCCUAAGAGAUUGUGGAA
Molecule: long non-coding RNA, 851 nt
Organism: Aquila chrysaetos chrysaetos
Lineage: Eukaryota; Metazoa; Chordata; Aves; Accipitriformes; Accipitridae
Exons: 2
Source: RefSeq, a predicted model, not a curated record